GCAGUGCGUGGCCGAAUGGUUACGCUGUCCGCUUUGUGAGCGGAUGAUUCUGGGUUCGAUUCCCUUCUGCUGCA
Molecule: transfer RNA, 74 nt
Filed under: Culex quinquefasciatus (southern house mosquito)
Lineage: Eukaryota; Metazoa; Arthropoda; Insecta; Diptera; Culicidae
Description: tRNA-Thr
Source: RNAcentral